CCUACGGGACGCAGCAGUGAGGAAUAUUGGUCAAUGGGCGGGAGCCUGAACCAGCCAAGCCGCGUGAGGGAAGAAGGUACAGCGUAUCGUAAACCUCUUUUGUCAGGGAACAAAGGCGGGGACUAGUCCCCGGAUGAGGGUACCUGAAGAAAAAGCAUCGGCUAACUCCGUGCCAGCAGCCGCGGUAAUACGGAGGAUGCGAGCGUUAUCCGGAUUUAUUGGGUUUAAAGGGUGCGUAGGCGGAAUGCCAAGUCAGCGGUAAAAUCGCGGGGCUCAACCUCGCUCCGCCGUUGAAACUGGCGUUC
Molecule: ribosomal RNA, 305 nt
Filed under: uncultured bacterium
Lineage: Bacteria
Description: bacterial SSU rRNA
Rfam family: Bacterial small subunit ribosomal RNA
Source: RNAcentral